Molecule: ribosomal RNA, 497 nt
Filed under: uncultured bacterium
Lineage: Bacteria
Description: partial 16S ribosomal RNA
Rfam family: Bacterial small subunit ribosomal RNA
Source: RNAcentral
GAUGAACGCUGGCGGCGUGCCUAAUACAUGCAAGUCGAGCGAACAGAUGAGGAGCUUGCUCCUCUGACGUUAGCGGCGGACGGGUGAGUAACACGUGGAUAACCUACCAAUAAGACUGGGAUAACUUCGGGAAACCGGAGCUAAUACCGGAUAAUAUAUUGAACCGCAUGGUUCAAUAGUGAAAGACGGUUUUGCUGUCACUUAUAGAUGGAUCCGCGCCGCAUUAGCUAGUUGGUAAGGUAACGGCUUACCAAGGCAACGAUGCGUAGCCGACCUGAGAGGGUGAUCGGCCACACUGGAACUGAGACACGGUCCAGACUCCUACGGGAGGCAGCAGUAGGGAAUCUUCCGCAAUGGGCGAAAGCCUGACGGAGCAACGCCGCGUGAGUGAUGAAGGUCUUCGGAUCGUAAAACUCUGUUAUUAGGGAAGAACAAAUGUGUAAGUAACUAUGCACGUCUUGACGGUACCUAAUCAGAAAGCCACGGCUAACUACGUG